RNAcentral lists this ribosomal RNA (496 nucleotides) under uncultured bacterium. RNAcentral's name for it is "partial 16S ribosomal RNA". It matches the Rfam family "Bacterial small subunit ribosomal RNA", at positions 28 to 507 of the family's 1533-position model. The record is from RNAcentral.
GAUGAACGCUGGCGGCGUGCCUAAUACAUGCAAGUCGAGCGAACGGACGAGAAGCUUGCUUUUCUGAUGUUAGCGGCGGACGGGUGAGUAACACGUGGAUAACCUACCUAUAAGACUGGGAUAACUUCGGGAAACCGGAGCUAAUACCGGAUAAUAUUUUGAACCGCAUGGUUCAAAAGUGAAAGACGGUCUUGCUGUCACUUAUAGAUGGAUCCGCGCUGCAUUAGCUAGUUGGUAAGGUAACGGCUUACCAAGGCAACGAUGCAUAGCCGACCUGAGAGGGUGAUCGGCCACACUGGAACUCAGACACGGUCCAGACUCCUACGGGAGGCAGCAGUAGGGAAUCUUCCGCAAUGGGCGAAAGCCUGACGGAGCAACGCCGCGUGAGUGAUGAAGGUCUUCGGAUCGUAAAACUCUGUUAUUAGGGAAGAACAUAUGUGUAGUAACUGUGCACAUCUUGACGGUACCUAAUCAGAAAGCCACGGCUAACUACGUG